RNAcentral lists this ribosomal RNA (478 nucleotides) under uncultured bacterium. RNAcentral describes it as "bacterial SSU rRNA". It matches the Rfam family "Bacterial small subunit ribosomal RNA", at positions 1052 to 1529 of the family's 1533-position model. The record is from RNAcentral.
UCGUCAGCUCGUGUCGUGAGAUGUUGGGUUAAGUCCCGCAACGAGCGCAACCCUUAUCCUUAGUAGCCAGCAGGUAGAGCUGGGCACUCUAGGGAGACUGCCAGGGAUAACCUGGAGGAAGGUGGGGAUGACGUCAAAUCAUCAUGCCCCUUAUGAUUUGGGCUACACACGUGCUACAAUGGCGUAAACAAAGGGAAGCGAGAGUGUGAGCUGGAGCAAAUCCCAAAAAUAACGUCUCAGUUCGGACUGCAGGCUGCAACCCGCCUGCACGAAGCUGGAAUCGCUAGUAAUCGCGAAUCAGAAUGUCGCGGUGAAUACGUUCCCGGGUCUUGUACACACCGCCCGUCACACCAUGGGAGUCAGUAACGCCCGAAGUCAGUGACCGAACCGAAAGGGAGGAGCUGCCGAAGGCGGGACGGAUAACUGGGGUGAAGUCGUAACAAGGUAGCCGUAUCGGAAGGUGCGGUUGGAUCACCUC